Molecule: unclassified non-coding RNA, 690 nt
Filed under: uncultured Prochlorococcus sp.
Lineage: Bacteria; Bacillati; Cyanobacteriota; Cyanophyceae; Synechococcales; Prochlorococcaceae
Description: partial may contain 16S ribosomal RNA, 16S-23S ribosomal RNA intergenic spacer, and 23S ribosomal RNA
Rfam family: Bacterial small subunit ribosomal RNA (bases 1-95)
Source: RNAcentral
CCUUGUGGAGGAGGACGCCGAAGGUGGGGCUAAUGACUGGGGUGAAGUCGUAACAAGGUAGCCGUACCGGAAGGUGCGGCUGGAUCACCUCCUAACAGGGAGACAACAAAAUGUUUAAUAUUAUUAUUUUGUCACCUUAGGUCGAUCGGUAUCUCACGUUCUUAAUUUAUUAAGAAUUUUAUUUCCUAAGUUUUUCUAGGUCACACCCAUUUAUUUUCCUGGGCCAUUAGCUCAGGUGGUUAGAGCGCACCCCUGAUAAGGGUGAGGUCCCUGGUUCAAGUCCAGGAUGGCCCAUAUCUCUAUGUUGGGGGUAUAGCUCAGUUGGUAGAGCGCCUGCUUUGCAAGCAGGAUGUCAGCGGUUCGAGUCCGCUUACCUCCACUGAUUACCACCUCUUCCAUAAUCUGUAGAAGGGAAAAUUUUUUGAGUUGUGAUCAUUAUUCUGAACGAAUCUAGCUUCCUAAUGAAACCAUUAAGAUGCUGGACUCAUUGAAUUAAUUUCAUUGUUUUCAGAGAACCUUGACAACUGCAUAGAUUAUUUUUAAAGACAAUAAGCAUCUUUAAUGAUGCAGAUUUAUUAUUUUUGCAAAUGCAUUAAUAACAAUUCUAUUAAGCUGAUGCUUCAAUUUUUGAAGUUAUUGGUCAAGCUACAAAGGGCUCACGGAGGAUACCUAGGCACACAGAGGCGAUGA